Molecule: long non-coding RNA, 1232 nt
Organism: Populus nigra (black poplar)
Lineage: Eukaryota; Viridiplantae; Streptophyta; Magnoliopsida; Malpighiales; Salicaceae
Exons: 3
Source: RefSeq, a predicted model, not a curated record
UUAAAGUAGAGGCUCCACUUUUUGUCUGAUUCCUUCUCUCUGUGUUUGUAGGGUUCUGUGGACUCCGUGUUUGAAUUCAUAUAGAGGAGCGGCUCAACGGUCAUAUUCUUGAUCUGACGGUUAAGACAGAGAGAAAAGGAAAAGGCUACGUCCUGGAUCCAUGGGCUUCCCAUAUGUUGGGGACACCAUGCAGUUUCUUAUUCCAAGCAAGUCACCAGGCAUCCCAAAUUUUAUCAGGAGAGAAUGAGAAAAUAUGGUUCCCUAUUUCGAACCAGCCUGGUGGGUCGGCCAGUGAUUGUAUCAUCAGAUCCUGAUUUCAUCUAUUUCCUUCUUCAACAAGAAGGAAAGUUGGUUGAGAGAUGGUAUAUGGGUUCCUUUGCCAAGCUUCUUCUCAUCAAGAAGCUGCAUCAAUCAUUUCAAAACAUGUCUCCAUACACAAAUAGCUCAGGAACUUAGUCUUGGCCUAUUUUGGCCCUAGCCCCCCAAAGAUAAGCUGCGGCCAUAGUUAGAAACUGCUAUAAGCCAAGCAUUGCAGGAUUGGUCGGAUCGACCGACCAUCGAAGUGAAAAGUGCCAGUUCAACUUUAAAUCAUUGGAGCUUAAUGUAUUAUUACGUUUUGAAUUACAAAGUUCUAAUUCUAGAUAGAUGGAGUGAAGCAUCAUGGGCACGCGCUGUUUCGAUGCCUCACUACAAGACUUGUAGUAAUAAACAUAAAUUUAGCAGUACCAUCUCUGUCUCACAUCAACUUCUUGCAAGGACUCAUGUCAAUGACCUUGAAUAGUCCUGGUAAUGCAAUUUCAUAGAUGUUUAAAAAGGUAAUUAUUUUAGAAAACGUUUGCUCAUCUUACAGGCUUCAUUCGAGUCACUUGCUGUUUAUGAUUAUGUGCAGAACCAAGAGAGGGCAAUAAAACUAAUAACUGCCUUGCUAGAAGAGAGACUGCGUAAUCCAGAGAUUCGCAAAGGAGAUUUUCUUGAAAAACUCCACGUGAAGGUAUUGUAGCGGUAUUCAAGAGCAUUUGCAAUUACGGCACCAUGCAUGCCUUCAAGUUUACACAAAAGACAUCUAGAACAUGGCUGGAUGAUGAAGAACCCAGACAAUAUGUAUGGUAACAUGACAUCUAGAUCAUGACUAUGGCCCAGUCACUGUCCUCUGGACUGGACUGUAAGGCCACCUCCUGAGCUCAUUGGCUCCUGUAAAGAUUUCCCAGCUGAAUGAAAUACUAUCUGUUCAA